This 1464-nucleotide ribosomal RNA is filed under the name Triticum aestivum (bread wheat). RNAcentral describes it as "partial small subunit ribosomal RNA". The record is from RNAcentral. Lineage: Eukaryota; Viridiplantae; Streptophyta; Magnoliopsida; Poales; Poaceae.
AUGCCAGGACUUCUCUUGACAGUGCUGCUCAUCUCUCUUCUCGCCAAAGAAACAUAUGUUGCCACAUCACUGGAUGAUGAAAACUUCUUCAAGAGUUGUUCACCAAGUCGGUGCAGCAAACAUGGACCAGAGGUCCGUUUCCCAUUCAGGCUUGCAACCCAACCUCCGCCUUGUGGUGCACCAGGUAUGCAACUAUCAUGCUCUGGACAGGACACAAUCCUGUACCACCAAGUUCUUGGCUCCUGCAAAGUGACUGCAAUAUUUUACAAGGAUCUAGUCAUAAACAUCAGUCCGCCUGUAGACUCAUCACUUGACUGCCCGCUUCAGAGACUCAUCUCAGCAAAUCUAUCAACCGGUGCGUACAAACCUCAAAAGUUGGAUGUUGCCAGCUUAGUAGGUUGUUCAAGAGAUCCUAUACCAAUAGAUCUAUAUGGUAUAGUGGGCCCAGUCACUUGUCUCAUUAACAAGGCCAUCAAGUUCUGGUAUUUGGUGAACCCCGAUGCCUACAUGUCUGUUCUACCUUUGGACUGCAUGGUUGUUUCUAAGGACAUCACAAUACCAUAUACUAGUCAGAUUGAUUACUCAGACUUUUUCAUAAUACCAAAGAAGGUCGAACACACUGCAACCUUUGAGUAUAGGGCAAGCAAAAGCAUCAGCCUUGGUGAGACAGCAUUUUCUUGGUACUCUAGUAACAUUACUAGUGUUUGCCAACAGUGUGAAAAAAAAGGACAACGAUGUGGAUUUAACUCACAAAGGGAUCAAGCUUUCUGCAAGAGUCAUGGUAUGCAGGUGAUCCAAAUUGCAGCAUCAUCUGUAGCUGCAUUUGUAGCUCUUUCAUUGAUGUUAGCCACGACGAUCUACCUCUCACUGAAGUCAAGGUAUAAUGAAGAGAUAAAUAGGAAGGUCGAAAUAUUUCUCAAGGCAUAUGGGACAUCAAAACCUACAAGGUACACUUUCCCUGAAGUUAAGAAGAUAGCAAGACGGUUCAAGGAUAAAGUCGGCCAGGGCGGAUUUGGAAGUGUAUACAGAGGUGAGCUACCAAACAGAGUUCCUGUGGCAGUCAAGAUGCUAGAGAGCUCUACAGGAGAGGGGGAGGAAUUCAUCAAUGAAGUUGCAACCAUUGGACUAAUCCACCAUGCAAAUAUCGUCCGUCUUUUGGGCUUUUGCUCCGAAGGAAUGAGACGGGCUCUUAUUUACGAAUUCAUGCCUAACGAGUCACUGGAGAAAUACAUAUUCCCACAUGUUUCCAAUAUUUCUCGACAACUCCUAUCACCAAAAAAAAUGCUAGAUAUUGCUUUAGGCAUUGCCCGAGGGAUGGAAUAUCUGCACCAAGGCUGCAACCAGCGCAUCCUCCACUUUGACAUCAAGCCACAUAACAUCCUGCUGGACUACAACUUCAACCCAAAGAUCUCAGACUUUGGCCUUGCAAAGCUGUGUGCAAGGACCAGAGCAUCAUUACCUUAA